RNAcentral lists this long non-coding RNA (2128 nucleotides) under Naja naja (Indian cobra). Its description in RNAcentral is "lncRNA (ENSNNAG00000014888.1)". Lineage: Eukaryota; Metazoa; Chordata; Lepidosauria; Squamata; Elapidae. The record is from RNAcentral.
GUUGAAGCCAGAAAUGGGGGAAAAAGCAUGUCUGGAGGCGACCCUCUCAGUUUGCAAAGCCAGACUUCUUUUGCUUGAGCCAGAGCCGCUUCUGCCACCCUGGGCGUCAGUUUUUUUUUCUUGCUUUUGCAGGCGCGACUAUCAAGGCGAAAUUGCAAUUUUAUUUUAUUUUUUGGCGGGGUGCAAAGCUGCAAUGAACUCGGCCAGAACUCGCUACGUAAUUCAUAUUCUUCCAGUACUUCGGGGCCAAAUAGAGGUAGCCAAGAGGAUGGGCCGGGUGUUGUGUAUGCCCACUUUCCCGGUGGCUUCCCCAGUGCAACCUGCCGACUGCAACCUUCCUCCCGCGGAGCUUCGCCCAACCUUCCACCGCAAGCGAGGCCUUGUCCCCCUACAGAGGAACGCUUCUCUCCAGCCGGGUCUCCCCCAGCAGGAAAAUGGGACCUCUCUCUCUUGGAGGCUCUGGGCGGUGCCCCCAAGCCCUCUUCGUAACGCCUGGAUUCUCCGCCGUCGGACAUCUCACUGAAGAAGGAAGUUUCCACCCAUCAAAAGGCCGCAUGGAAAUCUGCUAAAAUAUUCGUAUUGGGGGGAGGAAAUAAAGACUCGGCGGGAUGGGUUUUUUAUUUAUUUAUUUAUUAGGGAGGCUCCAAAGAACCUUGGAAGGAAGACACACUUGGAGAAGGAGAAACGGCUCUGCAAACCAGCCAUGGAGGGGCAAGCAACCCCCCUCCCUCUUCCUUAUUUGCAGAGGGGGGAACCCAUCCCUGGCUGGGACCUGUACAGCGCUCCUUUCUUGUGGGGGUAGGUCUAUGCAUCGCUAGCAGCUUUUGAGACUGACAAAGUGAUCCAGUAUCCAAACUCCAUGUCCUUUUUAAAUUUUUAUUGUUAUUAUUAUUAUUUGGAUGGUAGAGCACAGGCUGCUCUGUGUGGGGCUAUCUUAAUUCCUUUUGUUUUCCUCUCCUUUGACUUUCUGUGUCUCUCUCUUUGAUGGGCAUCAUUGGUUGGUUUGCUCGCUCGUUUGUUUCCAUCCUGGCCUUUCUGGGCAUUUGGUUGACUUGGGACUCCCGUCCUUCCGAGGUCGGUAAAACGAGAACCCGGAUUGUUUGGGGGGUGCAAUGCGUUCCUGACUCUGCAAACCGCUUAGAGAGGGCUGUAAAAGCCCUGUGAAGCAGCAUAGAAGUCUUUUUAAGUGCUAUUGCAGCUUAGAAGCUGCAGGGAGGCCCAUCAGCCACGGGUUUGGCUGCCUGGGAAUUGUUGGGAAGGAGGCAGAAAGGAAGCAGGAAGGAUAUUGUGCUUGGGGAAUGGGGUAACCCAUUGCUUCCCUUCUGGAAGUCUCUGUGUGUGUCUGUGUGUGUGUGGGGGGGUCCUUGGUGCUCUCUGAGCUUGGUUUUCUUGCAGACUUCUCUUUACUCAAUUAGGUAACAUCAUCAGUGCAGUGAGGAUGGGAUGAUCAGGGCACUGAUGAUGUUGCCAAGCUGGGUGAUGAAACGCUGCGAGAAAACCCAAGUUUGGACAGCACCAAAGGCCACACAGUUCAACCCUGAGCUAUAGUCUCCUCUCUGUGUGUCUGUGUGUGCAUACAGUACACAGGUAUGCUCCAUUUUAAUUGGCUUUUGUGCCCAAAGGAUGCCGUUGUUUCUUUAUUUUAAGGCAGGGCAGCCUGGGUGAGGAUACAGAAUUGCACAUUUUCCCUGGUAUCCACAUCCAAGGAACCAACACGGAGCCUUUGCCUGCUUUCAACCAACGUGCCUCUGUGUGUGUGUGUGUGUGUGUGUUUGCCCAGUUUGGGGUGGGGGAAAGAAUGCAGGGGCCAAAUUCACUCUGUUUGUAAAACAGGUAGGGUGUCAGGGUGCCCUCCUCCUUACAAUUCCUUUUUUGGGUGGGGAGACAUUAAAGUAUUGGUGGGUAAACAUAGCCCAGCUUAUUCAGCCAGCAAAGGGGUAAGUAUGAAAUAAUGUGGCUACCAGUCGUGGGAACCACCAGAUGGCAACGAGGACAUCAAGAACAGGUAAGAACAGGUAAGUGGAGGGCACAGGUGCUGGGAAGAUGGGGGGGCAGGCAGGCCUUAGAGAGCCAGAGUGGGUUGGCAAGAGCCCCCCAACAGCUGGCCUGCCUGCAGCCCCAAUCUUCC